Molecule: ribosomal RNA, 257 nt
Filed under: uncultured bacterium
Lineage: Bacteria
Description: partial 16S ribosomal RNA
Rfam family: Bacterial small subunit ribosomal RNA
Source: RNAcentral
UACGAAGGGGGCUAGGCGUUGCUCGGAAUUACUGGGCGUAAAGGCGCAACGUAGGCGGAUCUUUAAGUCAGGGUGAAAGUCCUGGAGCUCAACUCCAGAACUGCCUUUGAUACUGAGGACCUUGAGUUCGGGAGAGGUAAGUGGAACUGCGAGUGUAGAGGUGAAAUUCGUAGAUAUUCGCAAGAACACCAGUGGCGAAGGCGGCUUACUGGUCCGGAUCUGACGCUGAGGCGCGAAAGCGUGGGGAGCAAACAGGG